AUUUUUUUCUUAGAUUCGCAUUCCAGUUUUCCUGAUGGUGAACAAAUAGACCCUGAAAAUCUCCACUUCAACACCGAUGAAGGCAGUGGAAGACUGCUUGUUCUUGGAACCCAGCAGCCAUACUGUGAGGAAGUCCAAACCAGCCAGCCUGGGGAGACUGCAUGUACAGGGUCACACGGGUAUGAGCUGAGACCUCUGGCCCCAGCUAACAGCCACCAUCAGCUGCCUGACGUGUAAGUCACAGGGCUUCAGACAGCACCAGUCUUCAGCCUGAGGCUUCCAAUCCAUGGAACAGAAAUGGGGACUUGCUGUACCGGUCUGAAAUCCUGACCAAAAGAAACUAGAGUAUAAUAAAUGACUUUAUUAUGCCACU
RNAcentral lists this long non-coding RNA (373 nucleotides) under Rattus norvegicus (Norway rat). RNAcentral's name for it is "long non-coding RNA NONRATT005853". Lineage: Eukaryota; Metazoa; Chordata; Mammalia; Rodentia; Muridae. The record is from RNAcentral.